RNAcentral lists this ribosomal RNA (452 nucleotides) under uncultured bacterium. Its description in RNAcentral is "bacterial SSU rRNA". It matches the Rfam family "Bacterial small subunit ribosomal RNA", at positions 29 to 526 of the family's 1533-position model. The record is from RNAcentral.
AACGAACGCUGGCGGCAGGCCUAACACAUGCAAGUCGAGCGGGGACUUCGGUCCUAGCGGCGGACGGGUGAGGAACACGUGGGAACAUGCCUUUCGGUACGGAAUAGCCUCGGGAAACUGGGAGUAAUACCGUAUACGCCCUUUGGGGGAAAGAUUUAUCGCCGAAAGAUUGGCCCGCGUUAGAUUAGCUAGUUGGUGGGGUAAGAGCCUACCAAGGCGACGAUCUAUAGCUGGUUUGAGAGGAUGAUCAGCCACACUGGGACUGAGACACGGCCCAGACUCCUACGGGAGGCAGCAGUGAGGAAUAUUGGACAAUGGGGGCAACCCUGAUCCAGCCAUGCCGCGUGAGUGAAGAAGGCCCUAGGGUUGUAAAGCUCUUUCAGAUGUGAAGAUGAUGACCGUAGCAUCAAAAGAAGCCCCGGCUAACUUCGUGCCAGCCGCCGCCGUAACAC